UCUGUUUAUUCAUCCUGAAAAAUAAGCAAUUCUAUUUAAUCACUUCCCUCUAUAAAUAAGCAAUUCAAUAAAAGACAAAAGAAAAAUUAGCUUAUCACAAAUCUUGCUCCACCUCCAGCUUAUCACAAAUCCUGAUUAUUCCUGUUCCGUUCUUCGUUCUCCAUUCCCAAUCCUAGUCCCUGUUCUCCGGCCCCGUCUCUUCAUCUUCCCCUCGUUUCACUUUUCUAACAGAAAUGACUAAUAAGAGAAAACACAAAAGGAAAAGAUGGAGAUAGAGAGAUCAACUCUCAGAUUAGCGGCCCAUUCUAUUAUUCUCCUCUUUUUCUUUUCUUCCUAAUUUGGAUCGGAGACAUGGUUUUGUGAUGGACUGAUUUUUUU
Molecule: long non-coding RNA, 378 nt
Filed under: Panax ginseng (ginseng)
Lineage: Eukaryota; Viridiplantae; Streptophyta; Magnoliopsida; Apiales; Araliaceae
Description: long non-coding RNA (PGIN_LNC001697)
Source: RNAcentral